GCCACGCACAGUCUGUAGUCUACAGUGCCUGUAGUCCCAGUUACUCGGGAGGCUGAGAAAAGAGGAUCACUUGAGUUCAGGAGUUCUGAGCUGUAGUGCACUAAGCUGAUAAAGUGUCCACACUAAGUUUGGCAUCAAUAUGGUGACCUCUUGGGAGUGGGGGUGGAGUUGGGGGGAGUGAACAGGGCAGGUCAAAAACUCCUGUGCUGAUCAGCAGCAGGAUUGCACCUAUGAAUAGCUACUGCACUCCAGCCUGGGCAACAUAGUAAGACCCUGUCUCUA
Molecule: signal recognition particle RNA, 282 nt
Filed under: Otolemur garnettii (small-eared galago)
Lineage: Eukaryota; Metazoa; Chordata; Mammalia; Primates; Galagidae
Description: Metazoan signal recognition particle RNA
Rfam family: Metazoan signal recognition particle RNA
About the family: The signal recognition particle (SRP) is a universally conserved ribonucleoprotein.
Source: Rfam by way of RNAcentral